UUGAGAAAUCAAGUAGUUUAAUUUCUAAAAUACAGGAUCUAAUCUAUAUUAGUGAUAAAAUCCACAACUAAAUAAUAAAUUUUCCUAAAAAAAUAUAUAAUCAAAAUUAACAUAUAAUAAUUCAACUCAUCUGUGCUAAGAAUAUAUUCCUGCGUUUACUCGUCAAUCCCCCAGCAUUUUCACUUGCUUAUAAAAAUAUUCUCC
Molecule: unclassified non-coding RNA, 204 nt
Filed under: Hevea brasiliensis (rubber tree)
Lineage: Eukaryota; Viridiplantae; Streptophyta; Magnoliopsida; Malpighiales; Euphorbiaceae
Source: RNAcentral